RNAcentral lists this transfer RNA (72 nucleotides) under Lactiplantibacillus plantarum. RNAcentral describes it as "tRNA-Phe". It matches the Rfam family "tRNA". Rfam says of the family: Transfer RNA (tRNA) molecules are approximately 80 nucleotides in length. The record is from RNAcentral. Lineage: Bacteria; Bacillati; Bacillota; Bacilli; Lactobacillales; Lactobacillaceae.
GUAGCCUUAGCUCAGUUGGUAGAGCACUGAACUAAAUGUUUAGGGAUGCUAGUUCAAAUCCAGCAGGUUACG